AUUGAACGCUGGCGGCAGGCCUAACACAUGCAAGUCGAACGAGUGGCGGACGGGUGAGUAAUGUCUGGGAAACUGCCCGAUGGAGGGGGAUAACUACUGGAAACGGUAGCUAAUACCGCAUACCAUCGGAUGUGCCCAGAUGGGAUUAGCUUGUUGGUGGGGUAACGGCUCACCAAGGCGACGAUCCCUAGCUGGUCUGAGAGGCUGACCAGCAAUGCUGGAACUGAGCCACGGUCCAGACUCCUACGUGAGGCAGCAGGGGGGAAGAUUGCACAAUGGGCGCAAUCCGGAUGCAGCCAUGCCGGGUGGAUGAAGAAGGCCGUCGGGUUGUAAAGUACUUUCAGCGGGGAGGCGUUACCCGCAGAAGAAGCACCGGCUAACUCCGUGCCAGCAGCCGCGGUAAUUC
RNAcentral lists this ribosomal RNA (406 nucleotides) under uncultured bacterium. RNAcentral's name for it is "partial 16S ribosomal RNA". It matches the Rfam family "Bacterial small subunit ribosomal RNA", at positions 30 to 526 of the family's 1533-position model. The record is from RNAcentral.